UUCUAUUGUCAGGUACAGAAUCGUUUUGUCGGCAGUUUUGCGAACUGCUGCCUGUUGUUUGAUGUAUCUUUGACUUAAUUUUAAAGUCUAAGUAUUGGAGAGUGAAGACUUUAUCAAAGUACGGGGACCCGAAGGAUCGAGUAAGUCUAAGUAUUGGAGAGUGAAGACUUUAUCGAAGUACGGGGACCCGAAGGAUCGAGUAAGGAAAUACAACCCCAGUCCACUCAAACUCCGCACAAAUAGCCAAACUUCCAUCCCUGGAACUGCCCAGUCAGCGUGAAGAACAGUCAC
Molecule: long non-coding RNA, 291 nt
Organism: Hypanus sabinus (Atlantic stingray)
Lineage: Eukaryota; Metazoa; Chordata; Chondrichthyes; Myliobatiformes; Dasyatidae
Exons: 3
Source: RefSeq, a predicted model, not a curated record